This 445-nucleotide ribosomal RNA is filed under the name uncultured bacterium. Its description in RNAcentral is "partial 16S ribosomal RNA". It matches the Rfam family "Bacterial small subunit ribosomal RNA", at positions 354 to 796 of the family's 1533-position model. The record is from RNAcentral.
GUGAGGAAUAUUGGUCAAUGGACGAGAGUCUGAACCAGCCAAGUCGCGUGAAGGAAGACGGUUCUAUGAAUUGUAAACUUCUUUUGUGCAGGAAUAAAGUGGGUUACGUGUAACCUUUUGUAUGUACUGUACGAAUAAGGAUCGGCUAACUCCGUGCCAGCAGCCGCGGUAAUACGGAGGAUCCGAGCGUUAUCCGGAUUUAUUGGGUUUAAAGGGUGCGUAGGUGGAUUGAUAAGUCAGCGGUGAAAGUUUGCAGCUUAACUGUAAAAUUGCCGUUGAAACUGUCGGUCUUGAGUGCAAAUGAGGUAGUCGGAAUGUGUUGUGUAGCGGUGAAAUGCUUAGAUAUAACACAGAACUCCGAUUGCGAAGGCAGCUUACUGGGAUGCAACUGACACUGAUGCACGAAAGCGUGGGUAUCAAACAGGAUUAGAAACCCGGGUAGUCC